RNAcentral lists this ribosomal RNA (253 nucleotides) under uncultured bacterium. RNAcentral's name for it is "partial 16S ribosomal RNA". It matches the Rfam family "Bacterial small subunit ribosomal RNA", at positions 524 to 776 of the family's 1533-position model. The record is from RNAcentral.
UACGUAGGGUGCAAGCGUUGUCCGGAAUUAUUGGGCGUAAAGAGCUCGUAGGCGGUCUGUCGCGUCUGCUGUGAAAACUCGGGGCUUAACCCCGGGCCUGCAGUGGGUACGGGCAGACUAGAGUGCGGUAGGGGAGACUGGAAUUCCUGGUGUAGCGGUGAAAUGCGCAGGUAUCAGGAGGAACACCGGUGGCGAAGGCGGGUCUCUGGGCCGUAACUGACGCUGAGGAGCGAAAGCGUGGGGAGCGAACAGG